Molecule: ribosomal RNA, 498 nt
Filed under: uncultured bacterium
Lineage: Bacteria
Description: partial 16S ribosomal RNA
Rfam family: Bacterial small subunit ribosomal RNA
Source: RNAcentral
GACGAACGCUGGCGGCGUGCCUAAUACAUGCAAGUCGAACGAGAGCGACCGGUGCUUGCACUGGUCAAUCUAGUGGCGAACGGGUGAGUAACACGUGGGUAACCUGCCCAUCAGAGGGGGAUAACAUCCGGAAACGGAUGCUAAAACCGCAUAGGUCUUCGAGCCGCAUGGCUUGAAGAGGAAAAGAGGCGCAAGCUUCUGCUGAUGGAUGGACCCGCGGUGCAUUAGCUAGUUGGUGAGGUAACGGCUCACCAAGGCCGUGAUGCAUAGCCGACCUGAGAGGGUGAUCGGCCACAUUGGGACUGAGCCACGGCCCAAACUCCUACGGGAGGCAGCAGUAGGGAAUCUUCCGCAAUGGACGCAAGUCUGACGGAGCAACGCCGCGUGAGUGAAGAAGGUUUUCGGAUCGUAAAACUCUGUUGUUAGAGAAGAACAAGUGCUAGAGUAACUGUUAGCGCCUUGACGGUAUCUAACCAGAAAGCCACGGCUAACUACGUG